This 651-nucleotide ribosomal RNA is filed under the name Lethrinus nebulosus (spangled emperor). Its description in RNAcentral is "partial 12S ribosomal RNA". It matches the Rfam family "Bacterial small subunit ribosomal RNA", at positions 513 to 1449 of the family's 1533-position model. The record is from RNAcentral. Lineage: Eukaryota; Metazoa; Chordata; Actinopteri; Spariformes; Lethrinidae.
CACCGCGGUUAUACGAGAGGCCCAAGUUGACAACCAUCGGCGUAAAGAGUGGUUAAGAUUACCCUUCCAUUAAAGUCGAAUAUCUUCAAGGCUGUUAUACGCACCCGAAGACUAGAAGCCCAACUACGAAAGUGACUUUAUUUUAUCUGACCCCACAAAAGCUAGGGCACAAACUGGGAUUAGAUACCCCACUAUGCCUAGCCAUAAACAUUGACAGUACUUUACACCCACUGUUCGCCUGGGGACUACGAGCGCAAGCUUAAAACCCAAAGGACUUGGCGGUGCUUUAGACCCCCCUAGAGGAGCCUGUUCUAGAACCGAUAAUCCCCGUUCAACCUCACCCUUUCUUGUUCAUCCCGCCUAUAUACCACCGUCGUCAGCUUACCCUCUGAGGGUCCAAUAGUAAGCACAAUUGGCACAGCCCAAAACGUCAGGUCGAGGUGUAGCGUAUGAAAGGGGAAGAAAUGGGCUACAUUCACCCUUUACGGUGUACUACGAAAGAUGCAAUUGAAACAUUCAUCAGAAGGAGGAUUUAGCAGUAAGCAGAAAGUAGAGCGUUCCGCUGAAACUGGCCCUGAAGCGCGCACACACCGCCCGUCACUCUCCCCGAGCUUUCAAAUUUUGCCCUAAAUAAAACGCUAUCCACCGCUA